CUUCAAAAUUUAUACCUUAAAUUUAUAUUCAAUUUUUUAAUGUUCUUAUUAUAAGACGAAUAAUUAUUUUAUGUAGAAAAUUGAAUGAAAUACCACUAAACUAUUACUAUAUUGCAAGUUUGAAAGUACUAAAUUAAAGUUAAAAGAAGACCACUUGUACUUUUAUCAAGUAAUUGGACAAUUACACUCUACACGUAGAGAGAAAUGUUUUUUGUAAUUUAUACUAACAAAUGAAUAAAUAUAGAGGAUAUAUACUACAAUCAAACAUUUUGGAAUGAAAAAAUGUCAAACCAACUUAGAAUGUUUUACAUGGAGUGUUUACUCCCAGAGAUUGUAAAUCAUCAGUUCCCAAAGAGAUUGCUCAAAUCGGAUAUAAAAGAACCAAAAAAAUAUCAAAAAACA
Long non-coding RNA from Daktulosphaira vitifoliae (grape phylloxera), 402 nucleotides. RefSeq lists it as uncharacterized. The record is from RefSeq and is a predicted model, not a curated record. NCBI's taxonomy places the organism in Eukaryota, Metazoa, Arthropoda, Insecta, Hemiptera, Phylloxeridae. The transcript is spliced from 3 exons.